GUAGCUAAUAAGUAGAAGGACUGGUUUUGAGCCCUGCUGGUCUAUUCUGGUGAGGCCAUAGGCAUCUGAGCUGGGACGGAGGCCUGUGAGUUACCAUGGAAAGUGGAUGUGAAGAGGAAUAAUGUGAUCAGGAUGCAAAGCUGGGUGGUUGGUGCUAACUCAGGGUGUUCCUAUCUGCAGGUGUCAACUCAUUAGUGGGAGGGGAAAUCAAUUUAGGAAGUUA
Pipistrellus kuhlii (Kuhl's pipistrelle) is the source of this 223-nucleotide long non-coding RNA. RefSeq lists it as uncharacterized. Lineage: Eukaryota; Metazoa; Chordata; Mammalia; Chiroptera; Vespertilionidae. The transcript is spliced from 3 exons. The record is from RefSeq and is a predicted model, not a curated record.